Molecule: non-coding RNA, 85 nt
Organism: Melampsora americana
Lineage: Eukaryota; Fungi; Basidiomycota; Pucciniomycetes; Pucciniales; Melampsoraceae
Source: the annotation of a GenBank genome assembly
GUGUCUGUAGCCUAUUGGUAAAGCUAACACUUUGGUAUGUGUCCCAGUUCUUCUGGUGUCAUGGGUUCAAUUUCCAUCAGACACA